GUAAGGCGCCGAAUGAGUCAUUAAAAAAUUAACAUCAUCCGAUCCCUAGUCGGCAUAGUUUAUGGUUAAGACUACGACGGUAUCUGAUCGUCUUCGAUCCCCUAACUUUCGUUCUUGAUUAAUGAAAACAUCCUUGGCAAAAUGCUUUUCGCAGUAGUUAGUCUUCAAUAAAUCCAAAGAAUUUCACCUCUGACAAUUGAAUACUAAUGCCCCCAACUAUCCCUAUUAAUCAUUACGUCAAUCUUAGAAACCAACAAAAUAAGAUCGAACGUCCUAUUCAUUAUUCCAUGCUAAUGUAUUCAAGCGUUAGCCUGCUUU
Molecule: ribosomal RNA, 318 nt
Filed under: uncultured Glomus
Lineage: Eukaryota; Fungi; Glomeromycota; Glomeromycetes; Glomerales; Glomeraceae
Description: partial 18S ribosomal RNA
Source: RNAcentral